UCACGUCAUGUUCGGUUGGCGAGCAGAAAGGGUCACGUGAUUUCCGGUUAGGGAACAUAGGGACCAUCGAUGCUCACUGGUUUUUGCGUUGCAUUGUGGGAAUUUUUAGGGAACGAACGUUCCAGUGCACUGAACGGAUUUUGCGAUUGAGACAGCCCUUAAAAUGGCCGACUCCCUGAUCAGUGCCCUGACUACUGAACAAGGGAGCUGAUUGAGACACACAGAUGGUCUCGUACAUUAGACAUCGGGCCAUAUGGCCUCGGACUAAAAGUCCUCAGGUGAAACGGCAUCAGGUCUCGGACUAAAAGUCCUCAGGUGAAACGGCAUCAGGUCUCGGACUAAAAGUCCUCAGGUGAAACGGCAUCAGGUGAAACGGCAUCAGGUCUCGCACAACAAGGCAUCAGAUGAAACGGCAUCAGACUUAAAAGCAUCAGGUCUUACUAAAUCAGGUAUCAGACGAAACGGCCUCAGGCAGAAAGGCUUCAGAUGAUUUUCCGCGUAACCCCGCCCCUUAGCGUGACGUCACUUUUGUAAACUUCCGGCCAGCACUUAUUACAGCACACGGAGACUGCUAAAGAUGUAAGAAUGGAUUCACACAGAAAUGAAAUGAUAAAAUUGCUUUUUGCCAAUGGCUGUAAACAGAGAGAAAUAUGCUCUAUUCUUUGUGCCUCUGGAUUCAAAAUCAGUGAAAGGCAUUUAAGAAGAUUAAUUAAAACCCUUGGUUUGAGGCGGAGGAGUUAUGACAGGCCCCUUGAUGAAAUAUGUCAAGCUAUAAUGAGUGAGUUGAAACACUGGUCACCUUGGCAGGGCAUCCGUGCCAUGCACAAACGGGUACGUGGUGUCGGAGGAAUCCAGCCUUGCUACAGGAACGAUGUAGGUGUAAUAAUGGGAGAGCUUGAUGCCAGUGGUCUUAUUAGAAGAUGUCCUGGGAAAAAAAAAAUUGAACGAAGGAACUACUUUAGUCGUGGACCAAAUUAUACUUGGCACAUCGAUGGAAAUGACAAAUUGAAAUUCUUUGGAAUAUGGGUGCAUCUUGGUAUUGAUGGAUUUUCUAGGAAAAUUCUUUGGCUUAAGGUUGGCACCUCUAACCGACAGCAGAGCUUCAUUGCAAGGUACUUCUAUGAUGCUGUUUGGGAACACAACGGUAUGUAUUUUUGGCUGCUUGCAACUCUUAAUGACAAAAUUGUGUAUAUACACUUUAUACAGUCAUGUGAAAAAGUUAAAAUGCCCCAUUAAAUAUUCAGUUUUUGUUAAGAAUGUCAACAUGUUAUUUUUUGAUCUUGUUUUAAUGUGUACCUAUAGAUGAAAGUGAUGUACCGUAUGUGGGGGUGUCCUUACUUUUUCCUCACAAGAAAUUAGAUUUUUGGAAAUUCUGGAUUUUUUUUUCUUCAAAUUUACAGAAAAUUUUUAAUACUUUUCUUUAGUUUUUUUUUUAGUUAUUACUUUAUCUCAAUAUUGUUAAUAUAUAGAUGAAAUGUCCAUAACAGGCUUUCAGGGGGAGUUUUUCACAUGACUGUAUUAAAUGCUUUAAAAUAAUAAUUUUUAUUCUAGGUUGUCCAAGAUUUAUUCGGGCAGACAGAGGAAAGGAAAACCUUAUUGUCGGACAGAUGCAAGUGGCAUUUCACUUCAGGCAGGCUAGUGAUCAUGGACGAGAUUCUUUCAGAGUGGGCAAAUCAGUCCACAAUCAGGCAUGUAAUCGUUGUUGCUUAAUCACUGCAUAAUUUAAUUAAACAUUCGUUUAAAAUGUUUUUGGAGUAUGUGCUGUGCAGACAAACCUGUAUUAUACAAGAAAGUUUAAAACAAAAAUAGCCAACAUAUGAUUUAAUUAAAAGUAACCCAAUUGCUUUUGCAUUUCUUUUGUUAUUCUAAAUAUCAUCUAUUUUAAAUAUUAAUAUUUUGUGUCCAAUUAUUUACUUAUGUAGAAAGUAGUCAUUUAAAGCAGUGGUUCUCAAUUCCAGUCCUUGGGACUGCCCUCCCAGAAUGUUUUAGAUGUCUCCUUAUAUAAAACACCUGAUUUCACUCAUUAGGAUCCUUAACACACUAACAAGCUGAUGACAUGAAUCAGGUGUUUCAUAUCAGGAGACAUCUAAAAUGUUCUUGGAGGGGGGGGGCAGAGGACUGGAAUUUAGAACCAUUGAUUUAAAGCAAUAAAUGAUAUCAUUAAUUUAGGGUCUUGAUUACCCUGUUGGAUUUUAUUGUGCACUAACAACCUGUUGACUAGAGCUGAAUUCUUCAACAGCAUCUUGAAGAAAACCUGGAUCAAAAAAUGGCAGGUGACAUUUGAGACUAUGAUGGAAUCAGGGAUCCUUGAUUUGGACAAUUCAGUACAUAUAAAUUGCCUGCAAUACACACACCUUCCCCUUCUCCAGAAAGAGCUGACCACAGAACAAAGACUAUGGAACACUCAUGACAUUCGCAAGCAGCGCAAUGUUGCAGGUCCAUUCGGAAAGCCGGACGUUCUGUUCACUUUACCUCCUCAAGGUUUUGCUGAUAUGCUCUGCAAAGUGUAUGAUGACCUUCUGCAAUAUGCAGAACAACUUGUGUGUGCUACAGAUGAGCCUUUGUUGGUGGCGAAUGAAACAUUCAGAACAAUUGCAGAGGCCAUUCUUAGAGACGCAAACUUCCCAUUAUCUUCAGAUGGGUCUCCAGCAGCUUACCUUAUGCUGGUGGAGAAAUUCGUUGCAUGCAUUGAAAGAAGAGACAUUCACAUACCAUCCACAUUUGCAGAAGCAAAUGAAAUAUAUGAGCUACUGGCUAAUGAGACCUUCUAGCUGUUUCAAUUAUUAAGUGUUUUAUAGCGAUUUCAAGUUUAAGUACUUAAAAUGUGUAGUAGUGCUUAUUGAAUAAAAAUGUCCAAACAAGAAUUCCA
Non-coding RNA from Misgurnus anguillicaudatus (oriental weatherfish), 2869 nucleotides. Lineage: Eukaryota; Metazoa; Chordata; Actinopteri; Cypriniformes; Cobitidae. The record is from RefSeq and is a predicted model, not a curated record.